GCUCUGGUGGCUUAGUUGGUUAAAGCGUCGGUCUCAUACCUGCAAUUCCCUGGUCACACACAGGUGUAUUGCACAGACAUCCGAAGGUCGUGAGUUCGACUCUCACCCAGAGCA
Molecule: non-coding RNA, 114 nt
Organism: Zopfochytrium polystomum
Lineage: Eukaryota; Fungi; Chytridiomycota; Chytridiomycetes; Chytridiales; Chytridiaceae
Source: the annotation of a GenBank genome assembly